AUGUGUUCAAGAGGAGCUUGGCCACUGUACCUCACCUUAGAGAUGCCUGUGGAUAUACUCCAUGGAUUCCUUCUUACUGCAGUUAAAAUUUCCAGUUUAUGUAGAUGUUCACUUUUCACUAAUUGGGCUGUUUCUUCCAAGUAUAAAGAACUGCAGGACUUAACUCUUAGCAGAGACCCAGUCUACUUCUUCUGUGAGAAAUAUCUCAAAUAAGUUUCUUCAGACAGGAUCUUCUGUGAAGCUAUUUUAUUUGCGAUUGCAAUGGCGGGUGUCCUGUCAAUCAGGAGCGCAAUUUAGUAAACAAAUCAUAACCUUUUUUUCCCUAUUACCUGACGCCUGAUCACCUCCCCUGUUUCCUCAUUGGCUGAACUCUACAGGUUCACAAGCUACUCGACGCUCCUCUAUACCAUAUAUGUACAAUUUUUCUUUCUUUCAACCCUUUAAUUUCUCCUUUCUUAUGUUUUGAGAACUUGUGAUCUUUGUUUUACCGUUCUCACACUGCUCAUCCUGUUUUUCUCAAGCUUCUACCUUAUUUUGGAACAGUGAGGCCUUCUACUGUCCACUUAUCUACUUAGCAUUUCUCCUUAUUAUGACUACACAACUACCUUGGAAUACAGAAAAUUAGUUCUCUACUGCAAAAACACAACUUUGUUUCUCACACUUCCACCAUUAAAAUAAUCUUGGAUAACCCCUUAGGUAAAGCAAGAUAAAAGCACAGAAGCAAAGAAGAAAAUGUCACAAAGUCCCAGCCAGGUGGCAGCUCCAGACAACAUUAUUCCCUCCUGGUACGAGCCCACAACAGGAGGAUUUUUUUUUUUUUUCUGUUUGUUUACAUGCUAAAUCAUUCAAAAGAGACAGGUCAAACUUUCCUCAUUCCGUAUUCUGAAAGUUUAUGCAGACAGAAGCUACAAUUACAUAUUGAUGGCUGCUGAAGUACAAAUUAAAUUUUCUGAGUCUGUUGCUGGUAGAAAUCAGAGCUAUAAAGUGAUUUCAUCAGUAAUACUACAGUAACAAGCAGGACCAUAAAAAGAAAUUAAAAAUUUUCUUGGUAUGCUUCGGUAUGUGAUUUGUAGCAGCAAACACUACAGAGUAACUUUGCUCUGAAUCGCUUCUAAAAAGCACAAAGAGAGAGGACUACGCAGAAAACAGUCUCCUUGUAAACUGUGUGGAACAAAGAGAUGGUUUCACCUUCAGAAAUGACAUUUCUAUUUCUGUAUGAUUUUCAAAAUGAAACCUAGAAAAUACCUUUUAUAUUUCAGUAUUUGAGAAAUAUUUGGAAGUUUUAAUACAGCGCUUUUUUUUUUUUUUUUUUUUUUUUUUUUUUUUUUUUUUGUUUUGAAUCAGAAUUUGAUUUGGAGUUGUUCAAACACCAGGAAGAGAUUUUUUGAUCUAUUUUUUGACAUCAACAGCCAAGAAAAUGCUAGAAAAUCCAGUUGUGUCUACUUAAAGUGAAAGCCACUUACACUGCUGAAGUGCUGAUAGAAAGCAAAUUUGGCUGUGUGACUGAGCACAAAAGGUGGGAACUUCUGGGUUCUAGAUCUAUGCCUGUCACUGACUGAAGUUGGUAAUUCUGUAUAAAACAUAAUAAAUCAUUGCCUUUCUUAUUUAACUUAACA
Long non-coding RNA from Anser brachyrhynchus (Pink-footed goose), 1616 nucleotides. Lineage: Eukaryota; Metazoa; Chordata; Aves; Anseriformes; Anatidae. The record is from Ensembl.